Long non-coding RNA from Phocoena sinus (vaquita), 4893 nucleotides. The record is from Ensembl. NCBI's taxonomy places the organism in Eukaryota, Metazoa, Chordata, Mammalia, Artiodactyla, Phocoenidae.
GACUGGGAGCAGGUGAGGAGCUCGAUAAUAACCAGAAAAGGAGAGUUGUGGGCCAUUCCUUUAGACCAGUGGCUGCAGUCUGACCAUGUGAAGGACUGGGAGCAGGUGAGGAGCUCGAUAAUAACCAGAAAAGGAGAGUUGUGGGCCAUUCCUUUAGACCAGUGGCUGCAGUCUGACCAUGUGAAGGACUGGGAGCAGGUGAGGAGCUCGAUAAUAACCAGAAAAGGAGAGUUGUGGGCCAUUCCUUUAGACCAGUGGCUGCAGUCUGACCAUGUGAAGUGCAUUUGCUUCUACAAAAUUCCUACCGGCAUCCGUGUCUUCUUAUGAUGGCUAAACUGAGAAAGCUAAUGAACAACUUAGUCAGCAUCUGGUGUUAAUGUAAGAGCAAAUAGGUAAAGAGUAUCAGCCUAAUGGGUCCUUUUAUAGGUAAGUUUCAUAAGCAUUUAGUGCAUGGAUUCAGGUAGCUUAUAUCCUCACCAGGUAAUUUGCCUUGUUUCACGGAUCUUCCCAGUGUUCUAGACAGUUAAGAUGGCCAGGUGAGUGACCCCCAGAUAAAAGAGGAUUUGCUGUAUUUGUCUUUUACUAUUAAUGUACCCCAAGUGGAUAAUCGUUGUGCAGCAGCUCCAUUUACUUGUCUAUACAAGCUAAAUGCUCUAUCGUAAUUACCCUUCAAAACAAGCACCUACAUCUGAUGAGGGGCCCACACAAGUGACACUGAAGGGGUACAAUUCUCAUUCCUCUGAUGCAUCUGUCAGUGACAAUCAUCUUUCUGAGAAUGAUGGAUGAUACAAACAGUGGACUCCAAAAAGACCCCUGAGCUUUCAGUGGUCCUGACCCUUUAACUAAAAUAGGAAGCUCUUUGCUCAGAAGGAGAAUUGACUCAGUGUUGGAUCCAAGCUAAAAAUGGCUGGGCUGUAACAGGUGAUUUUUGUGAGUUAUAGUGAAAAGUCACCAGAGUCUGGGCAUCUGUGGACAUAACUAAGAUGACAAGAAGACAAACAUUGAACUGAGGAGCUUGCUGCCACGUUAGUAAGGGAUUCAAUUAAAAACAUCUUAUCAAAUUAAAAGUAUUACAGAGGACGCAGUGAGUUCCGGAAAGCAUGCUAGACACAUCAAUCACAGGAACGGAACAGCCCAGGUCUGGUUCCUGCAGGAAGGUUCUGUGGGAACAGAGACACGUUGCUCUGUAGGCACGAAUCCCUGGGACGUUCUUGAAAUUAGGCUGCAUUUUCCCUGCCAAGUCGUUGAAAAUGAACUUUAGGCUGUCGAGGCUUAACCGGGAAAUAUUUGUCUUUUUAACAUUUUUAGAGAGGAGGUGAUAAUUUGUGAAAUGAUUGUUAGAAGACCAGAUAAUUUUUGCUGUUCUUGUUGUUGGCUCUCAAAAUUAUAACUUUCCCACACUGCCUGGCCACCUCCCUGUCCUCCAGAAGAAGUGGGUAACAGUUGGGACAUUUUUUUUCUGGUAAUGACAUUUUAAGGCUAUUUGUCAUCUCCUAGAAUACUCUGCCCGUUUUUCUCUUCAGCUCUUCAAAGACGUUAGGCCAGAAUCUUAAAAGAGGUCAAAGAUAGAAUAGAUUCUGAAUUAGUGAUUUUGAUUCAGGCAGGGAAGUUCUUAAAAAGGGUGUGUCAAAAAGCAUGUAUGCUUUAUAGUAUGAUGCCUAAAACACGGGGCAUCAUACUAUGGGGGCUGGAAAUCCUACAAGCUGUGUUAUCAAGCACAUGUGUAAAUAUUGCCAAUGGUCAAGAUUUCAGAGAAAACAAAUUCAGUAUCAGGUUGAAGAGCUUACAUAUUUAUGAUACCUUAUGAGAGGGAAGACAACUUGAAGAUGGUUUUAUCACCAAGAAAAUCGUGAAUCAGGGACAGUGGUCGAUGUGUGUCUCUGUGUGAAAUUGGACUAUUUAGCUAAGUGUGUUGAAGUGCUGAUGAUCUAGGGUUUUAAUUAUGACAUUUGAGGUAGAAUUCAUUUACUCAUUUUCCAUUCAAUUCAGCACGUGUUGAGCAUCUAAUGGGUACCAAGCAUGAGUUAGACACUGAAGAAUCACAGACAAAUAAAUAUUUUCCCCACUCUCAAAAUAGUCACAAUCUGAAUGGUGAAAGAUACAAAGAAUACUUUUUCUACAUUGUACCCAGGCAGGAAAAGAUACAAGAGUUAUGAAAUCAUAGAAAAAGAAGUCACUAACUGCUUUGUGAGAGUCCAGAGAAGGCUUUGCAUGCUGAGUUGUCAAGUAAGACCUGGUGUGCAUCAAGUUCAAGGGUUGCCAUGUACUCCCUGGAUGUGUGGACAAAAGUGACAGGGUCUCUAGCCAGAAAAGUAGGCAGCAACUGGAUUGAGUACACGUUUACCAAAUGAUAAAGUGUGAAAAUUAAUCUAUCAAGAUGGAGAGCUGUGUAAUUUUUCAAAGCACAAGAAGGAAAUGAUCCAGUUGUAAAGAUCAGGCUGGCAGCAGAGAAAAGCAUGGAUUGGGGAAGAGCAGUGUUCAGAGGUGAGCAGUCCUUAACCACACAGACGGUAAGAUGUGACGACAACGUGCUAAUGGAAUGAAGGAGUCGGAGAUUUCUGAAAAGUACCGUACUUGAUGACUAAUUGGACUUGUGGGGAAAUGGAGAGAGGGCCACCUAGGAAGUCUGAUAGGCUUCGGUGUAAGUAACAGCAUUAGCUGACGUAAGAACAGAGGAGAAUGAAGGUAAUGAAAACAAUUUACAUGUAUUGAUGGCUCGCUGGGAUCAGACGUUAUACCAACCUCUUUCCAUGGAUUAUCUUAUUUCGUCCAAAUGAUAACCCAUGGAAGGAGGCAAUAUUAACAUUCGCAUUUUACACAGGAAAAACCAAGUUAGAAAAGUUAAGCAACGUUUACUGAUCAUACAACUGUUAAAUGGCAGAAAGAGCAAAAAGAUGCCUGCCUUUGUUCUGUAGUUACAUGAAAUCAUAACGGCUAAUACUGGACUCAUCAUUCUUCCCUUCUGUCUCUCUCUUCACUGGGAUAAAAACUUCUUAAGGAAAAGAUCGUAUCCCAUAUGGUGUGCAUCUUUCUAAUAUCUAGUAAAUGACUACUGCACAGUAGGUACAAAAUAAGUUUAUGCUUUGGGACAUGAUUAAACCUGGGAUACAGAGCUGGUGGCACCACUGCCAUAAACCACAGUGUUAUUACUUAUUGGUAGCUUUCCCUUAAAUUCCUUAUUCAUUCAUAAUUCAUAUGACAUAGAACACAAUCAAUACUGACAACUGCCUAUAAAGUGCCACGGAACCUCAAAAGAGCCCAUGUUGUUUAUCGAGCUAUUGUCUCUGGGAUCCAAACCCAGCCCACACCUUGAUGCUGGGCCUGGCCUAUGAAAGUUCACUGUCCCUUUGCCAGCUGCUCCCCGGAGGUUCGGCCAUGAGGGGUACAAGGGGAAGGCAGGAAGAAGAGGAGGGACUCACCCACCCUACUCUGCUUCCUUUUAUGUCUGUGUCACCCGACAGUGGACAAGGGUUCUUCAUCUGGGCAGCGCUGGUUGGUUUCACCUUUCACUUUUCCCAACACCAUCCAGUUGCCCCCGAGAAGGCCCGGGUCCCAGACACACUUCUAUCCAAGCUUCCUCCGAGGGGCUUCUGGAAUUCUCCCUCAAUAACUCUGUGAGACCUCACUGUUCCCCUUUGCCUUUUAGUCUUCCAAGACCUGUAUGACCAAUUCAUUAUAUUAAAAUUCUCUCUGCUAAAAUAACUGGCUUCAUUUCCAUUUUCCUGACUAGAUUGUGGCUGAAAGUGUCAGGUGUUUAUUUCCCCCUUUAGAGCUGAAGGAGGGAACUUUCAAAUUUUCUAGCAGAAAAUUCUCCCAGGGAGGGUGGCAGGCUUCCCCUUCCCAUCCAUUUAGAGAGGGUUGCCUGGGUAACCCCUGCAUAACAGGGUUGCAAAUAGCAAGAGAGGAGGCAUCACCAAUCAGGCCAUUAAGGAUCAGGUCUGUUGCUGCUCCUUCCUGAGCAAGUUUACUGCUCUCCUGUCCUGAACAUCAGAGAAGAAGAGUUAAAGAGAAACUGGAUCUUUUUCCUGACAAUUUUUUAUUAUUACAAUAGUAAAUUUCCCUAGUUUGUUACUUUUGUGACUAGCUGUUCAACUCUGUCCUAAGUGAUCUAAUAGGAAUUGGGCCCCAAAAUGAUUCCUGAGUCAAGGACUCUGGUUAUAAGGGGAUUGUAUAAGCACAGAUUUUUAAAUUAAUUUUCUUAAAUAUAAUUGAUUCUAUGAUCGCUAAUAUUUUCCCCCCAAAAAACAGAAAACCGGUCUGUUCCAAAAUUCCAGAGAGCAUCGCACAGUGUGUCAUGAUUCUCUGUUUUGUUUCAGCUAAUUGGUAGUUCUCACCGUGUUUGGCACCAGCUGACAAAUGGCAAGCCAGAAUAAACUACUGUUUAAACGCCAGAAGAAUCCCUUAAAGGGUUUUUAGCCUUUUAAAAAAAGAAAAUCACCUUUGGUCCUGCUCCAUAGGGCUGGGCAUCUGAGUUGCUGCAUCAGAGCAUCUGUAGGCCUCAUCCUGGGAGUUACUGGGUAGAGGCAUGGGGGGUGGAGAAGAGGGAAAGCACUCAGAGUUGGCCAUUUUCAUGCGUUUGGAGGAUGAAGGGUCACAUGAGUUGCAUCACCACAGUUAGACUAUAAGUCAGGCUAUGUCAGGGGUUGCAUACAUAUAUACGCAAAGAAGAAUCAAUCCUCUCACUGGACUGCAUGUCAGUAUUAUGACACAGUGUGAGUGUGUUUUUGUUUGGUAAUUGCAAUCAUUGUUGCUUUUGUUGUGGUCAUCCAUUUACAAUGCUUGGUGUCAGUCUAUUUAUCUCUUGUAAAAAUAAAAUACAGUGUGUGUGUGUGUGUGUGUGUGUGACAAAAAAAAGAAAAAAACAAAAAACACCAUGCUUUGAGCCCCAACUCC